GCCCGGGUAGCUCAGUCGGUUGAGCGUCUGGUUUAGGCUCAGGUCAUGAUCUCACGGUUUGUGGGUUCGAGUCCCACGUCAGGCU
This 85-nucleotide transfer RNA is filed under the name Felis catus (domestic cat). It matches the Rfam family "tRNA". From Rfam's summary of the family: Transfer RNA (tRNA) molecules are approximately 80 nucleotides in length. Their secondary structure includes four short double-helical elements and three loops (D, anti-codon, and T loops). Further hydrogen bonds mediate the characteristic L-shaped molecular structure. tRNAs have two regions of fundamental functional importance: the anti-codon, which is responsible for specific mRNA codon recognition, and the 3' end, to which the tRNAs corresponding amino acid is attached (by aminoacyl-tRNA synthetases). tRNAs cope with the degeneracy of the genetic code in two manners: having more than one tRNA (with a specific anti-codon) for a particular amino acid; and 'wobble' base-pairing, i.e. permitting non-standard base-pairing at the 3rd anti-codon position. The record is from Rfam by way of RNAcentral. Lineage: Eukaryota; Metazoa; Chordata; Mammalia; Carnivora; Felidae.